This 203-nucleotide ribosomal RNA is filed under the name uncultured Rikenellaceae bacterium. Its description in RNAcentral is "partial 16S ribosomal RNA". It matches the Rfam family "Bacterial small subunit ribosomal RNA", at positions 1180 to 1382 of the family's 1533-position model. The record is from RNAcentral. Lineage: Bacteria; Pseudomonadati; Bacteroidota; Bacteroidia; Bacteroidales; Rikenellaceae.
UGACGUCAAAUCAGCACGGCCCUUACGUCCAGGGCUACACACGUGUUACAAUGGCCAGUACAGAGGGCAGCCACCCCGCGAGGGGGCGCUAAUCCUAAAAGCUGGUCCCAGUUCGGAUCGGAGUCUGCAACCCGACUCCGUGAAGCUGGAUUCGCUAGUAAUCGCGCAUCAGCCACGGCGCGGUGAAUACGUUCCCGGGCCUU